Molecule: ribosomal RNA, 367 nt
Filed under: Madagascaria erythrocladioides
Lineage: Eukaryota; Rhodophyta; Compsopogonophyceae; Erythropeltidales; Erythrotrichiaceae
Description: bacterial LSU rRNA
Rfam family: Bacterial large subunit ribosomal RNA
Source: RNAcentral
CUUUACUGUAGCUUGAGAUUGGGUUUGGGCUUUUCUUGCGCAGCAUAGGUGGGAGGCUUUGAAGACAUUCUUGCGGGAGUGUCUGAGCCACCAGUGAGAUACCACUCUAGGUAAGCUAAAAUUCUAACUUGUCACCGUUAUCCGGUGAAAGGACAUUUUCAGGUGGGCAGUUUGACUGGGGCGGUCGCCUCCUAAAAGGUAACGGAGGCGUGCAAAGGUUCCCUCAGACUGGUCGGAAAUCAGUUGUAGAGUGCAAAGGCAUAAGGGAGCUUGACUGCAAGACCUACAAGUCGAGCAGAGACGAAAGUCGGCCUUAGUGAUCCGACGGUUCCGAGUGGAAGGGCCGUCGCUCAACGGAUAAAAGUUA